Molecule: long non-coding RNA, 1597 nt
Filed under: Solanum tuberosum (potato)
Lineage: Eukaryota; Viridiplantae; Streptophyta; Magnoliopsida; Solanales; Solanaceae
Description: long non-coding RNA (STUB_LNC009807)
Source: RNAcentral
GAAACAUCAUUGAAUCCUACAGCCACGCUAUGCCAAGUGACAUAACAAAAUUAGUAUCAAUACAAACAUGUAUAGUUAGGCAUCAUCGGUCGACUCGGACCUACCACAUAAUACAAAGUAGACAUUCAGAAGGAAACGUGCAAUAUAAUAGUUACAACUCCAAGCCUCUAUCCACCUGCUUCUACCAUCGUAGGUAUAAUGCUCAUAAACUAAUACACCUUUAUCCCAAUUUCGUACCUCCUUUUGCUGCUAACUUUACCAUGAAACAUUUGACCGUCUUACCAUUCUAAGGCUCCCUAAGCCUACAUGUUAUACCACCCUAGGGCUUCCUAAGCCUACAUGUUAUACCACCCUAGGGCUUCCUAAGCCUACAUGUUAUACCACCCUAGGGCUUCCUAAGCCUACAUGUUAUACCACCCUAGGGCUUCCUAAGCCUACAUGUUAUACCACCCUAGGGCUUCCUAAGCCUACAUGUUAUACCACCCUAGGGCUUCCUAAGCCUACAUGUUAUACCACCCUAGGGCUUCCUAAGCCUACAUGUUAUACCACCCUAGGGCUUCCUAAGCCUACAUGUUAUACCACCCUAGGGCUUCCUAAGCCUACAUGUUAUACCACCCUAGGGCUUCCUAAGCCUACAUGUUAUACCACCCUAGGGCUUCCUAAGCCUACAUGUUAUACCACCCUAGGGCUUCCUAAGCCUACAUGUUAUACCACCCUAGGGCUUCCUAAGCCUACAUGUUAUACCACCCUAGGGCUUCCUAAGCCUACAUGUUAUACCACCCUAGGGCUUCCUAAGCCUACAUGUUAUACCACCCUAGGGCUUCCUAAGCCUACAUGUUAUACCACCCUAGGGCUUCCUAAGCUUACUUGUUAUACCACCCCAAGGCUUCCCAAGCCUACCUGUUAUACCACCCUAAGGCUUCCCAAGCCUACCUGUCAUGCCACCCUAAGGCUUCCCAAGCCUACCUGUUAUACCAUCCUAAUACCAUCCUAAGGCUUUCCAAGCCUACCUGUUAUACCACCCUAAGGCUUCCCAAGCCUACCUCUUAUGGCACCCUCAUAUCAAAUCAUAACCUAAUCCUUCUAUCACAUAGAGAUUAGCGAAUACAAACCACCACUAGGCACUAACUUUUUUAACCGACCUACUACUCUCCUUCAAGUUCUCGUGCUAACACCCUGGCCCUUUCACACCAAUACCUGAAAUGGGCAUCCUAGACCUACUUGUCCCUCUUGACUUCAAACCCCAAUAUCAGAUUUAUUCUAAUCACUGAAUAACCAUAGCCAAUUUCAACACUUACACUAUGCACCAGAUCCUCAGUCAUCAGCCUGACCUAGUAACCACAAUUUCAUAAAACAAAUAACAUACCAUUAUAAUCACAAGUAUAACAUAGCCCAGACUCCCAAUCGUUACCUUGAGCUAACAUUCACGUGAAACAUGUCCCACAUGAUCACAUGCAACCUAUACCUAAGUCUCACUUAUUUUCCAAGUAACCAGGACCACUUUAGGAUCCCUAAAACAUUAUCCACAAUGUUUAACAUGCAAACCUGGUCUCUAGAACCAUCCCUACAUUUAAACACAAAUCUUGGGCACUCAUGG